Molecule: long non-coding RNA, 217 nt
Filed under: Homo sapiens (human)
Lineage: Eukaryota; Metazoa; Chordata; Mammalia; Primates; Hominidae
Description: HSALNT0211980
Source: RNAcentral
GGCAGAAUGCUGAUGACAUCACGGAACUUAGAGGCCAGUAAAGGAAGGGACUGUUCAGAGAGUUGGCCUUCCAAGCAAGGUUGGCCUUGGCUGUUCUGGGCACACUGUACCAGUGGGUGGAUUAAUGAGGUGCCUUCCUGACCAGGCUGCCAGUGAUGGGGCAGAAAAUCACCAGCAAGAAAAGGGCAGAAGGCAGAGAGGGAGGAAGGAGAACAGG